Molecule: RNA transcript, 2593 nt
Organism: Coffea arabica (coffee)
Lineage: Eukaryota; Viridiplantae; Streptophyta; Magnoliopsida; Gentianales; Rubiaceae
Gene name: protein DETOXIFICATION 16
Source: RefSeq, a predicted model, not a curated record
CAGUGCUUCUUCUUUUUUUUUUCACCAUUUGUAGGCUAAGAUUUUCGUAAUCUUGCUGUCUAAAUCUUCCCAGCUGUAGUUCCUAAUAUUCUUCAGUAGCAUUGCUGGAUUACAUUUUAUAUUAAGUGGGAGCCACUGCCUUAAUAAUAAACCAAUUAAUACUUGAAAUAUGAUUAUCUCAUCAUAAAUUGAUAAAAGACUUGCAAAAGCAGUUAAAGAGAGUGAGAAUCUUGACUGAAGAACAUUAUUGAUUGGGAAAAGAAGGAGAAUGGACAGAUAUGACUCGAGCCCUGUAGCCCCUUUGAUCCCAAGCCAAGGCAGAAGCCACUGCAUUGAUAGAGAGGUAUCUGAACAAGGUUGUUAUAGAGGGGAGAUUAUUGAAGAAGUAAAGAGGCAGCUAGGACUAGCACUGCCUCUGAUUGCAGUGAGCAUUCUGCAGUACUGUUUACAAAUUAUUUCGAUCAUGUUUGUCGGCCAUCUUGGGGAGCUGCCUCUUUCAAGUGCUUCGAUGGCUACUUCCUUUGCUUCAGUCACUGGAUUCAACGUAUUGUUAGGAAUGGGAAGUGCACUGGAAACGCUAUGUGGACAAGCUUAUGGAGCCAAACAGUAUCGUAUGCUUGGCAUCUAUACGCAGCGAGGGAUGAUAGUUCUUCUAGUGUUAAGCAUUUUCCUUGCAUUGAUUUGGUUCUACACAGACCACAUUCUAAUAGUUCUUGGUCAAGAUCAGGAGAUAUCUAUUGAAGCUGGGAAAUUUAAUCGGUCAAUGAUACCAGGCCUUUUUGCCUAUGCCCUCCUUCAAUGCAUCAACAGAUUUUUACAGACUCAAAAUAUUGUGUUUCCUAUGAUGAUGAGCUCUGGCAUUACAGCGUUAUUUCAUGUUCUUUUAUGCUGGUUUCUUGUGUUCAAAACUGGAUUUGGAAACAGAGGAGCUGCUCUUGCAAACGGCAUAUCAUAUUGGGUUAAUGUGUUUUUGCUGACGGCGUACAUCAAGUUUUCACCAGCUUGCUCAAGUACUUGGACUGGCUUCUCUAAAGAGGCCUUGCUUGGUAUCGUCAGUUUUAUAAAACUUGCAAUUCCUUCAGCUAUCAUGAUUUGUUUGGAGUAUUGGUCAUUUGAGAUGGUUGUUCUAUUAUCUGGUCUUUUGCCAAAUCCAAAGCUAGAAACAUCAGUCCUAUCUAUCAGCCUCAAUACAUGUUGGAUGGUCUAUAUGAUCUCUGUCGGUCUUGGUGCUGCCAUAAGUACGAGAGUUUCAAAUGAAUUGGGCGCUGGAAAUCCACAAGGCGCGCGCUUAGCAUUGGGUGUGGUAGUCAUAGUGGCCCUUACAGAGGGCGCAAUUGUUGGAACAACAACCAUUCUGGUUCGGCAUAUAUGGGGAAAGCUCUAUAGCAAUGAAGAAGAGGUGGUUAGAUAUGUGGCUAAGAUGUUGCCUCUCCUUGCACUAUCUGACUUCUUUGAUGGAUUCCAAUGUGUCUUAUCAGGGGCUGCAAGAGGAUGUGGAUGGCAAAACCUCUGUGCAUUUAUCAACCUUGGAGCUUAUUAUAUUGUAGGAAUACCUUCAGCUGUUCUGCUUGCAUUCUUCUUCCACAUUGGAGGCAUGGGACUUUGGAUGGGAAUCAUAUGUGGCCUUUCAGUGCAAGUUGUAGCGCUUGUUACAGUAAACCUGUGCACUGAUUGGGAUAAUGAGGCAAGAAUGGCAGUGAAUAGAAUUCAAAGUUGCAGCAUACCAGAGGAAUAAUCACCAGAACAAAAGGGAGUUAGUAAAAGAAUCCCUAAUCACUUCUAGAACUGUAAUUGUCAGAUGGCCCUUGCUUCACUGCGACAAAGGAAGCCCGUUUGCAGUUUUUUUGUUCUCCUGCUUCAACUUUCUUAUCAAGUGGCAGUCCACAUGUCUGAAAUUGGAGGAACCAUAAAAGGAAGGUGAUAAGGUUUUUGGCUGCGAAAUAUUGCUCCUGGAAACUCUGUAUCUACCGCUAUGAAGCGAUAAGUUGCAAGAUUUUGCUCAAUGAUGGAAAAUCUGCCCUUAAAUUGUAUGCAUACAACUUUCUAACUACAAUCAGCUUUCCCUCCAUGUUUCUCUCCCUAUAAGUUCAAAAUAAUCCACAAAAAUAUAGAAAAGAAAAGAACGGGGAUGCUUACGAUACAUUGUUGUAACUCCCGGUUUCUGGUAAGUUUUCAAAUCCUAUUGGUCUUAGGAUUACUAAAAUAACUUUGUUUUUAAAAAUUAUUCCCAUAAUAAUACACUUUUAAAUCAUAUUCCCUUUAUAAUAACUUGUAUAAUCUACAUAAGACUUUUGAAACUUAAUUUCCUUUAUUUUCCCUUUUCAAAAGGCUUCCAAUCUUUUCUUAAUUAUACUUUACCUUUUCUUAGUCACUUCUAAUCCUGAUUAAAUAACUAUAAAUCUUCUUACAAAGUAAUAUGGAACAAAACGCCAAUAAAAAUUUAUUCUAUGUAGGCAUAUCUCACUAAGAAUGGAGGGACUAAAAAAAGGAAAAAGUCACUUGACAACAAUUAAUUGUACAAGGAUAUAUCUUUGUGGGAAGGGAGGAAAAAAAGGUUAUAUCUUUGUAGGAAGGGAAGGAAAAAAAAAAAAAA